Molecule: ribosomal RNA, 389 nt
Filed under: uncultured bacterium
Lineage: Bacteria
Description: partial 16S ribosomal RNA
Rfam family: Bacterial small subunit ribosomal RNA
Source: RNAcentral
CCUACGGGUGGCAGCAGUGAGGAAUAUUGGUCAAUGGACGAGAGUCUGAACCAGCCAAGUCGCGUGAGGGAUGACUGCCCUAUGGGUUGUAAACCUCUUUUAUCUGGGAAUAAAGUGUUCCACGUGUGGCAUUUUUUAUGUACCAUAUGAAUAAGGAUCGGCUAACUCCGUGCCAGCAGCCGCUGUAAUACGGAGGAUGCGAGCGGUAUCCGGAUUUAUUGGGUUUAAAGGGAGCGUAGGUGGAUUGGUAAGUUAGGUGUGAAAGUUUGGGGCUGAACCGCAAUCUUGCCGUUGAAACUGGCAGUCUUGAGUAGAGGAGAGGUAGGCGGAAUUCGUGGUGUAGCGGUGAAAUGCUUAGAUAUCACGCAGAACUCCGAUUGCGAAGGCAG